AAAAUAAACCAUUAUUGAUGCUAAAUUGGAUCAAAAGCAAUAUAAUCUAUAUUAAUGAAAUUAUUGACGAAAACGGUCAAAUCAACGAAAAGACAAUACUGCGUAAGCUAGAAAUAAAACACAACUGGAUAGCCGAACUAUCAAUACUAAAAAAGCUAUUCCAAAAUGUUGGAUAGAUAUCCUGAAAACAAAUAAAUCUGUUAAAACCCGAGUUAGUAUUAACGAAAAAAUAAUCAGAAUGAAUGAAACAGAAAUAAAUUUAGAAGAUCUUGAUAACAAAAUCGUCUAUCAAUAUUUUAUAAAAAAUUAAAAUAACUCCAAACAUUGGAAUAAUAAAA
RNAcentral lists this long non-coding RNA (338 nucleotides) under Mytilus galloprovincialis (Mediterranean mussel). The record is from RNAcentral. Lineage: Eukaryota; Metazoa; Mollusca; Bivalvia; Mytilida; Mytilidae.